This is a long non-coding RNA of Solanum tuberosum (potato), 1621 nucleotides long. RefSeq lists it as uncharacterized. NCBI's taxonomy places the organism in Eukaryota, Viridiplantae, Streptophyta, Magnoliopsida, Solanales, Solanaceae. The transcript has 3 exons. The record is from RefSeq and is a predicted model, not a curated record.
AGCUCAGAGAUGAGGGAGUAUUUUUGACUUAAUCCACUAAUGAGCUUUGACCAAUUUUGACUUCCAAUCAUCUUCCCAAUUCCUCUUCCGGGUCGUCUUCCCCUAUUGUUUCAUGGAACUGAUUGAACGGUAUGAACCUUUGAAUGCACAAGAGUUAUGGACUGAACUAUCACAUUGGAGGGAGGAUCGUGUGGAGGAAGAGUUUGUGUACUUAGAACACAACCUCUCCCAGUAUUUUAGCAAAACACUCAAAAAUCCCCCGAAUGACCCCGACGGUACUGAGUUAUUUGGGGAAACCGUGAAUCUUGAAUGGAAGAGUUCGAGUCCUUUUGAAGUGUUUAUGGAUGAGGAGCCGGGUGGUAAUUCCGAUGAUCCUGUCGUCCUUGAAAAUCUGAAGGAAAAAAUUUCGACAUUCAACCAUCGGAGAACUUACUAGUUACUAUGUACUUGUGGAACAACAGAAAAAAUACAUAAGUAGAUUUCUGUCUAAAUUGGGAAUCAAAAAUAUCCCAAAGGAUUCGUUCCAUACGUAUUUUAACAAAAACAUAGUUUCAGAGAUUAAGCAGACUAACAGAGGAUUCAACAUGCUAUUCACUGCGAGAAAGGGCUCCUAUGGAUUUUGCUUUGGUUGAAGACAAGUCAGCUUACCGACGUCACCACAGAUUCAUUUGGAGUACUCUCGAUUCUCUGGUAAGGUCCAGAGCAAUUGAUGAUUCUAUUAGGACAGAUGUAUUCCUAGCCAUCGAAUGUAGGGCUGACGUAGAAGGUACAUUGGGAGGCUACCCUGAAGUUCUUCUUAGAUAUGGCUUCAAGUUGAGUUGGGGUUCAAUAGACGCUCGAAAGUCCUUUCUAGAAGAAAUUGACACAACAAUGUAUACUCCCCAAAUGUGCAACUUAAUUUGGAAUGAGUUUGGGCUAUACGACAAAGCCAUCCACUUUAGAAAUGCACUCUUGAAAAAAAGGUUUUACAAGCAUGUCAAAAAUAGCAGAUUGAAUAUACCUACCAAUCGUAAGUUGCAAAAACACUUCCGAACCUAUGUUACUUACAUAAAGCAGCGGGACCGAACUAAGAAAAGCAUGUCAGACAAGGAUCUCCAAUAUUUUUUUAUGGCUCUCCCAGCAGACAUUCAGACAUCAUUUAAGUCUCAUUGCACAAAAUAUUGUUCAGCAUUUCGAGACUUCAUUAAUCAGACAAUGGUAACCCAUGCACAGUAUUUGUCUUGAGUGGUCAAAACUGCCAAUCGUGCCGUACGAGAUAAUGAGGCUCUGGGUGGGAAUGAGAACGAGAACGAGGAGGAUAAUGAGGGGAAUGAGAACGAGGAGGAUAAUGAGACUGAGAGUGAGUUCGGGAAUGAGAAUGAGGAGGAUAAUGAGACUGAGAGUGAGUCCGGGAAUGAGAACGAUGAGGCUGGUCCAGAGGCUGAUCCGACUGGUCUGGAAACUGAUCAAGAGGCUUAUUCAGAUGAUGUCUAAUAUUAGAGCUGGAGAAACAACUUUUCAUUCAAGGUAACAAAAGAAGCAAAAGAGAAUGCAUCUAUAGAUUCAUUUGGCAAAAACAUGGUGAAGGUGCUUCCCCUGUAGACAUGGAUGAAAAUGAUUUUACCGUUGUGGCUGAAUUGAU